CUCAUCACACUAUCCCGAUCCGUCGCCAACCUCACAUGUCUCCACCAAUGUCGGCCGCCAACCGCCCGAGUGCCAAUCGAUCUCCCCUCUCCUGGUCGCGAACACCAGGUGCUCGCCGAAAGCCGAGCAUCCGAGUCUUCCAUUCGGUCAUGCCCUAGCUUUGAUCCACCGUCGUUGCCGUCCAUUUCCGCGAGACUAGCCGGCAAUGCAGUAACCAUUGCCAUUGCGGGAGGCGACACUGUCAGUUGUUGUGAGAGCCGUGGAGCCUCCGCUACCUCCGUCGUACUGUUUCCCUUUGCCAGAGUUGUACCACGGCUAUAGCUGCCAUCUUUUCCCUACUCUAGCCACCGCAUCCACAGCGGUCAGACAAAGGCGGAUGUCCAUGACCACCACAGUGGUAGCGACCCCUACUUUGAUCACUAUGGCGCUGUUGGUUGCUGACCAGUUUCAUUGCAGUAAGAAACCACUACUGGUUGCAGUUGCCGCUGCCAGCAUCGAUUCACCAUCAUUUGCUGUCACUGUCGGAGAGGAUGAAAGAUUUGGCGGAGUUGGAAGUUUUAAUCUACUGUGACCCAGCCAAAAAUUGAAUGUCAAAGGGUAAUUAAGUAGAUGCUUGAUUAGAGAAGGAAGUUGUUUCUGGAUUUAGAUCGGAUACCUUAAGUUGGGAUCAAGAAGCCAAGGGAUUGAAGCUAACCUAUGUCUCUGAUUCGAGAUAAGCAUUUCGACGUGGGGAUUGUUUAGCUCGAUAUAUAAUUAAGGUAGCAGGUAGGUAGAUGAUAUAUGUAUAGAGUUGCUUGGAGGAUCUUGUCUGCCAGUCUCACGUCGCAUCGAGAGUUUGGUUUCUACUGUUGCUUUUACUCAUAUUUUGAUUUUCUGAACAUGUUCAUGUAAUAAUUACAUUGAGUAUAGAUUUUUGUCUUGUGUUGGUCUUUUAUUCGGUUUGAUGGUUGUUGUGUCAAAUCAAGCCAGCUCAUAGUCUAUUGUUUUGUUCAUAUAGUUUACCUUAUGUCUUCUAUUGUAUUUUUCUCCCAACUAUGUGGGCUGCUAUUUAUUUUGCGUGGUUGUUGUUUCUUCCAACCGUGUGGGUUGAUAUUAUUAU
Zingiber officinale is the source of this 1099-nucleotide long non-coding RNA. RefSeq lists it as uncharacterized. The transcript has 3 exons. The record is from RefSeq and is a predicted model, not a curated record. NCBI's taxonomy places the organism in Eukaryota, Viridiplantae, Streptophyta, Magnoliopsida, Zingiberales, Zingiberaceae.